Molecule: ribosomal RNA, 426 nt
Filed under: uncultured bacterium
Lineage: Bacteria
Description: partial 16S ribosomal RNA
Rfam family: Bacterial small subunit ribosomal RNA
Source: RNAcentral
UGGGGAAUAUUGCACAAUGGGCGCAAGCCUGAUGCAGCCAUGCCGCGUGUAUGAAGAAGGCCUUCGGGUUGUAAAGUACUUUCAGCGGGGAGGAAGGCGAUAAGGUUAAUAACCUUGUCGAUUGACGUUACCCGCAGAAGAAGCACCGGCUAACUCCGUGCCAGCAGCCGCGGUAAUACGGAGGGGGCAAGCGGUAAUCGGAAUUACUGGGCGUAAAGCGCACGCAGGCGGUCUGUCAAGUCGGAUGUGAAAUCCCCGGGCUCAACCUGGGAACUGCAUUCGAAACUGGCAGGCUAGAGUCUUGUAGAGGGGGGUAGAAUUCCAGGUGUAGCGGUGAAAUGCGUAGAGAUCUGGAGGAAUACCGGUGGCGAAGGCGGCCCCCUGGACAAAGACUGACGCUCAGGUGCGAAAGCGUGGGGAGCAACA